AUUUAUCUCUCACUACGCGAUCUCUCUCUCUCUGCUCCUAUCUCUCAACAAAGAGUUGGCCUUCUUCUCCCUUUCUAACCUCGCCACCCAUCUUCCUAUAGAUCCACUGUCACCGCCUUCCAAUCAAUCCGCCACUGCUCUCGCCUUCAAGACAGUGCCACAACGCCCUCACCCCCGCCCUCGCCUUUCGACAGCGCCACAGCCACCUUUCGACACCUCCGCCUAAUAGAAGAGAUGCCUGACAAUGUCGUGUCGUUGCCCUCGCCUUCCGACAGCGCUGUCACUAAGUAGAAGAGAUGCCUGAUAGCUUCGUACUGUCGCCCUCACCUUCCGACAGUUUCGUCGAGUAAAAGAGACGCCCGACAGCAUCGUGUCGCUACCCUCACCUUCAGAUAGCGUCGCUGCUGCUGCCUCGAGCGAGCAACAAUGGAAAUCUCUUCUUCUCAUGAGGUCAUCCUAUCCGGGACCAUCUCCUCGAGCGAGCAAUAAUUGGCAAUAACAGUGCCUCUAGUUGAGAAGAAUUGUCCAAUGGAGAAAAUUCAAAUUAUAUAGUGAUGAUGUUAUUCCAUGAAGGGAAGGAGUUUCCAAUGGACAACGAUGCACACAACUACUACAAUACAUAUGCAAAAAAGAUUGGGUUUGGAAUUCACAAAGAUACUUUUUAAAAAAAUCAAAGAAAGCUUCAAGAGAGAUUCUUUCGAGGACUUUUGUCUACGAUAAAGUGGAGAGAAAGAAAGCAUCGACUAAAAAUACAAGUGGAUCAAUUAUCAAUUAUCGUCCGGAAACUAAAGUUGGUUGUGGUGCAAAAAUGAAGAUUAGGCACAUCUUCACUUGGAUGGUUACUAAGUUCAAUUCUGAGCAUGUUCAUCCUUUAACAAGCCUCGACAAAGUAAUAUAUCAUCAUUCUCACAAGCAGUGACAUCGAUCGAAGCCUCGUAUUGGUCUCAUUGAGUUGUUGCAUGAAGAGUGAAUAAAACCGUCUAAUAUUAAAAAGCUGCUUUAUGUUGGAUACUAGGGAUAAGAUGAUGAACCACACAACAUAUGAUUGGUCAUAUCAGAAAGAUAAUGCAAAAUAACAUUGGCUGUGAAUGCUUAAACAUCAUUAGUCAUUUCCAAGAUAGAAAGGAGUAGGAUCCAAAUUUCUAUUUUGCUAUGGAGAUCGAUCACCUUGGUACACUGAGAAGUGUGUUUUGGGCCAAUGGUAGAGCUAGAGAUUCUUAUUUAAGUCUUGGAGAUGUGGUGAUGUUUGAUACCACAUACAAGACUAAUCAGUUAAGUAUGUCAUUUGCUCCAUUUACAGGGGUAAACCACCACCGCCAAUCCACCCUCUUCGGUUGUGCAUUGCUUGCAAACGAGUGAGAGGAAAACUUCAAGUGGUUGUUUUCUUAAUGGCUCAAGUGUAUGCAUGGGGUUGCACCAAAGGCUAUCAUAUCUGAUCAGGAUGCACAGAUGAGAAGGUGGCUUUGAAGAACCGGAAGAGCAAAAAGAGAAGAAGCAAAAGAGAUAGAUUGUGAGAUAGUUUACAAAGUAUUUUGGAGCCCAAGAGUAAGAGGUGUUAGAUGAUAUGGUUGUUUUAUUGACCAAUUUGGUUGUUUAUUGACUAAUUUGGUUAUAUGGACUUGUUGAUGUAAGUGAACUUUGAUGAUGUAUGAACUUGUUGAUGUUGUUCGGUUUUAAAUUAUUGGUAAGUUGUGUAGUUUUAUUGUUGUAAGGACUUAUUGACUAACUAUGAUUGUAUUGAAGUUUUUGUAUGUUGUGGUUGUAUGGACUAAUU
Molecule: long non-coding RNA, 1774 nt
Organism: Asparagus officinalis (garden asparagus)
Lineage: Eukaryota; Viridiplantae; Streptophyta; Magnoliopsida; Asparagales; Asparagaceae
Exons: 3
Source: RefSeq, a predicted model, not a curated record